UGUCGCCUUUCCAUAAAUACAAAUAGUUUUAAUCAUUCAACAUCAAAAUAUUUCAACAUUUAUUACUUAAGUUACUGCUGUAUUAAAUUCUAAAUUGUAUUACAAGCAGCGGGUUGUAAUAACAAAUUAAUAAUACUUAGUACAAGAAUAUAAUUCAUUCACUUAUUAAGUUUGAAAUAUUCAAUUAUUCCGCGGAAUAAGUAAUUUGUAAAAUUCCGCAAUUGAACAUGAUGUUCGUUUUCGGAAUUUCGCAAAUAACUUACAAUACUGAUAUAUCUGUAUUAUAAUUUUUUUAAUUAAUUAAAAUUUUUAUGUUUGUUUUAGAUUCUAAUGUAAGUGAAUUAAUUGCAAAUAGCGUAACAAUAGGGUAUGAUUGUAUAGAUGUAUGACUGCAGGUUAUAUGGUGCUAGAAGUAGUCCUAACAGUACAGCUAUUAAAUAAAAUAGUAUAACUAUUCCUGUGUUUUAUUUCUUAUUAUUAUC
Molecule: unclassified non-coding RNA, 482 nt
Filed under: Melitaea cinxia (Glanville fritillary)
Lineage: Eukaryota; Metazoa; Arthropoda; Insecta; Lepidoptera; Nymphalidae
Description: misc RNA ENSMCXG00005020176.1
Source: RNAcentral